Molecule: ribosomal RNA, 468 nt
Filed under: uncultured bacterium
Lineage: Bacteria
Description: partial 16S ribosomal RNA
Rfam family: Bacterial small subunit ribosomal RNA
Source: RNAcentral
GACGAACGCUGGCGGCGUGCUUAACACAUGCAAGUCGAACGGAAAGGCCCUGCUCUUGUGGGGUGCUCGAGUGGCGAACGGGUGAGUAACACGUGAGUAACCUGCCCUUGACUUUGGGAUAACUUCAGGAAACUGGGGCUAAUACCGGAUAUGAGCUCCUGCUGCACGGUGGGGGUUGGAAAGUUUCGGCGGUUGGGGAUGGACUCGCGGCUUAUCAGCUUGUUGGUGGGGUAGUGGCUUACCAAGGCUUUGACGGGUAGCCGGCCUGGGAGGGUGACCGGCCACAUUGGGACUGAGAUACGGCCCAGACGCCUACGGGAGGCAGCGGUGGAGAAUAUUGCGCAAUGGGCGGAAGCCUGGUGCAGCGACGCCGCGUGCGGGAUGACGGCCGUCGGGUUGUAAACCGCUUUCGCCUGUGACGAAGCGUGAGUGACGGUAAUGAGUAAGGAAGCACCGGCUAACUACGUG